Molecule: transfer RNA, 72 nt
Filed under: Dipodomys ordii (Ord's kangaroo rat)
Lineage: Eukaryota; Metazoa; Chordata; Mammalia; Rodentia; Heteromyidae
Rfam family: tRNA
About the family: Transfer RNA (tRNA) molecules are approximately 80 nucleotides in length. Their secondary structure includes four short double-helical elements and three loops (D, anti-codon, and T loops).
Source: Rfam by way of RNAcentral
GGGAAGCUGGCUCAGUGGUAGAGCACUUGCCUUGCAUGCAUGAGGCCCUGGGUUCGAUUCCCCAGCACCACA